RNAcentral lists this ribosomal RNA (541 nucleotides) under uncultured bacterium. Its description in RNAcentral is "bacterial SSU rRNA". It matches the Rfam family "Bacterial small subunit ribosomal RNA", at positions 777 to 1314 of the family's 1533-position model. The record is from RNAcentral.
AAUAGAUACCCCGGUAGUCCAUGCCGUAAACGUUGGGAACUAGAUGUGGGGACCAUUCCACGGUCUCCGUGUCGCAGCUAACGCAUUAAGUUCCCCGCCUGGGGAGUACGGCCGCAAGGCUAAAACUCAAAGGAAUUGACGGGGGCCCGCACAAGCGGCGGAGCAUGCGGAUUAAUUCGAUGCAACGCGAAGAACCUUACCAAGGCUUGACAUAUACGAGAACGCCGUAGAAAUACGGAACUCUUUGGACACUCGUAUACAGGUGGUGCAUGGUUGUCGUCAGCUCGUGUCGUGAGAUGUUGGGUUAAGUCCCGCAACGAGCGCAACCCUCGUCGUAUGUUGCCAGCACGUAAUGGUGGGAACUCAUAUGAGACUGCCGGGGUCAACUCGGAGGAAGGUGGGGAUGAGGUCAAAUCAUCAUGCCCCUUAUGUCUUGGGCUUCACGCAUGCUACAAUGGCCGGUACAAAGGGCUGCAAUACCGCAAGGUGGAGCGAAUCCCGAAAAAGCCGGUCUCAGUUCGGAUUGAGGUCUGCAACUCCG